GUGUUGUUAGUAUUCCUGAGUCGAAGCAACUUAUUUCUGGGAAAAGAGUAUUUCGUCCAAGCUCCAGCAUCAGACACACUCCUCAAUGGUACUAUACUCAUCUCUCACUUUCUUUUUCACUUUCUCUCAGAAACAAACAAGAAAAACCUACAAAGAUUCAACAUUUUUGGCUUAUGGGUCCUCCAAAGAUGACAACUUUUCAACAAGUAUUUUGCACAAAAUUACCCUAAGCUCUGUGUCUGUGUGUUUCCAGGCCGGUCUCGGAUGUUACGAGUGACUUAACCAUAGAAGUCGGCUCUGCAACCUUUUCUCUUCACAAGGUAACCUAAAAUUCAAACUAAACUCGUGAAUGAGAAGACAUUUAUUGACUCUGUUUUUUCAGUUUCCUCUCGUCUCUCGGAGUGGAAGAAUUAGGAAGCUUCUUAUGGAUUCAAAAGAAACAAAGAACGCUUAUCACCUGAACCUAACCGCAGUUCCCGGCGGCUCAGAGGCGUUUGAGCUCGCCGCGAAAUUCUGCUACGGCAUCGUCCUCCAAUUCACCUCUUCGAACAUCGCAGCGUUGAGAUGCGUGGCUCAUUACCUGGAGAUGACAGAGGAAUUGUCGG
This 605-nucleotide long non-coding RNA is filed under the name Eutrema salsugineum. RNAcentral's name for it is "long non-coding RNA (ESAL_LNC001398)". Lineage: Eukaryota; Viridiplantae; Streptophyta; Magnoliopsida; Brassicales; Brassicaceae. The record is from RNAcentral.